CUACGGGUGGCUCCAGUAAGGAAUAUUGCGCAAUGGAGGCAACUCUGACGCAGCCAUGCCGCGUGCAGGAAGAAGGCCUUAUGGGUCGUAAACUGCUUUUAUUUAGGAAUAAACCCCCGAACGUGUUCGGGGCUGAAGGUACUAAACGAAUAAGCACCGGCUAACUCCGUGCCAGCAGCCGCGGUAAUACGGAGGGUGCAAGCGUUAUCCGGAUUUAUUGGGUUUAAAGGGUGCGCAGGCGGGUUAUUAAGUCAGUGGUGAAAUCCCGGGGCUCAACUCCGGAACUGCCAUUGAUACUGAUAGUCUUGAGUUUGGUUGAAGUGGGCGGAAUGUAGCAUGUAGCGGUGAAAUGUAUAGAUAUGCUACAGAACACCAAUCGCGAAGGCAGCUCACUAAGCCAAAACUGACGCUCAUGCACGAAAGCGUGGGGAUCAAACAGGAUUAGAUACCCUGGUAGUC
Molecule: ribosomal RNA, 459 nt
Filed under: uncultured bacterium
Lineage: Bacteria
Description: partial 16S ribosomal RNA
Rfam family: Bacterial small subunit ribosomal RNA
Source: RNAcentral